GCUCCACCAGCAGACGUGCAGUGCCCGUGAACGUUGCGUGCGUGUGCGCGGUCCGUCUGUGGUUGGUGUGCAUUAAUCACAAAACGAUAUUGUUAUCAGAACGAUAUGGUAGUGCAAAGUUCGACCGUCUCGUCGCGGGUAUCAUCGUCGUCUUGAAAAUAAAAAAAGUAAUCGAAAGAUAAAACCGACGCAAACCUCAGCGCGUGUGGUCCGGUCGAUCUGUGUCCGUCGUCCGCAGCGAUAAUAAUAUUAUGUUCCUUUGGUCGUAAUAUUAUUAUUAUUAUUAUAAUAUUACAUCGUAAUCGUCCGAAAACCGAUCGCGGCCGUCUAGUGUCGAGUGCGGGUCUCGUGUUUAGAGUGUAGAGUUGUGUCUGUACCUUUGUUGGGUGUAAAAUUGUAAAUUAAUAAUAUAAAUUCGCGAGUGCAGUGCCCGUGAUACAGUGUCGAAAUCCGCCGUCGUCGGUAGUUGCUCAAUUAUUUCGCUUUGCUAAUAUCGUUAUGUUUUAUCGUCGUUGUUGUUCUUAUUAUUGUUAUUCGUGUUAUAAUUGUGACGAGGUGAAACGAUACGUGUUGGGCGUCCGAAAAUCUUAAUCGUACCGCCUGUAACAUAGGUCUAGGUACCGGUUUAGCAUAUUAUUAUUAUAUUUUAUUCGUGCGUCCAAAUCCCGAUAUUUUUCCCGAUAAUAAAUAUGACCACUCGCUGCCCACUGGAUUUUGGAGUUGUGCCCCUGAAGUGGUAAUCGCAGCGGUGGCAAUCGUAAACAAGGUGUAUCCGUCGGUUUUCGCAAAUGACACUGCAAACGCACUGGACAGCACCAACUACGCGACUGGUGCGAAUAAGACUUUGAGGGGCCUCGAGCCCCUGUGGGAUGGACUGCCGUGGCGACGAGCUCAUCCAACACAAUAACAGAACAGCGGCACAAGCUGUGCCUUUUCAAUACCUCAUCAACGAACAGGCAAAGUCUAUCCUCGCUCUACAGGAAUUACAGAAUGAGGUCGGCGCGCUGUUGGAGUUUAGGGACAUGGUCAUGGACACGUUCCCGCACCUGCGUCACAAGCAGGCGUCCAGCCCGGAGCCGAGCUCGGGGUCGCAGGGCGUCGGUUCCGGCGAGAGCCGCUGGGAGCCCGGCGUGCGGGUCCGCCGGAAGUUGCAGGGCUCGUCGUCGGGAUGGAUCGCCGGCGGGGGAGGUGGCGGAGGCGGCGGCGGCGUCGGCGUCGUCGGACUGGUGGCCGCGGCCGGGGCGGCGCCGCGCAGCCGGAGCAACAGCCACGGGAAGGGCCCGAAGAGCGGCGAACCGGCGGCCGCUUCGUCGGUGGGCACCGUGCAGGACAGCGGCUUCUGCACGGAGAGCAAGGACAGCAGCUCGACCAGCUCGCGGACGACGAUGACCACCAAGAACUGCGGCGGCAAGGACGACGAGGACGACGAGCUGUGGAGCCUGCUGGAGAUGAUCCAGGACAAGGGCACCAAGCUCAAGCUGGAGGUGGAGUCGCUGCAGAACCGGCUGUUGGUGGACGACGAGCGGCUGCGGCGGCGCCGGCGCCGGCUGCGGUUGCGGCCGUGCCGGAGCGUCGACGACCUGCUGCAGCCGUCGUGGCCGCGCGACGCCGACGACCUGCGCGCCCGCGGCUGCACCGCCGAUUACGACGUGUUCCGGGCGCACGUGGCCAACGUGAAACGCGAACGGGACGCGCUGCUCGACCGGGUCACCGAAAUGGAAGCGGAGAGCCUGUCGAAUGCGGCGCAGAUCCACCGGCUGCUCGCCGAGCUCAAGACUGUCGUGUGCGAGAACAGGGAACUCGAGGAACGGCUGUGCGGCGGUAAGUCGCCGUCGGCCGCCGCCGCCAUAGCAGCCGCGACCAUCGCGUCGAGGAAAUCGUCAUCUAGUCAUAACGGUGGCUUCGCCCCGGUCCAGCCUGAAUCGUCGACGGGGCCCAGCUCGUCGUCGGCCGGCCGCGACGCGUUCUACACGCCCAGCCAACAUUCGGCGUGCAACCUGUCGUCCAUCGAACUGCAGUGCGGCAAACUGUUGCACGACGGUUCGUCGUCGUCCGCCUCUUGUGCGUCGCUGUCUUCGUCAUCAGCCAUCAUGGACGACGGCGGCGGCGACCGGGACCGGGACCGCCACCGGUCCAGGAGGGUCCUGCUGGUCCGGCCGUCCGACCCCAUUUCCCGGAACCUGGAGGGCCGCGCAUCGUCACCGGCGCUCGACAUUGGGUCGCCGACGUUCGCCAAGCGGCUGGGCGCCCUGGACGGCGUUGUCAGCAGUCCCGGCGACCGGAUCGGCAAACCCCACGCUCCCGGGUUCGGCACCCCGUUGCCCAAAAGAACCCUCGCCGCCAUACUAAAAACGUUCAAUCCCAUCGAACUCCAGCGACACCUCAUCACAGUAUCCUACGAGAACAAGAAUCUCAUCCGACAGAUGGAGAUGUUGAACAUUUCCAAGAGCGACGUUUCCAACGAGCUGAACAAGAGCAAAGAGGACAACGAAGAACUGAAAUUCCAACUGGAGGAGAAGCGCAUCGAGCUGGAGGGCACCAUGGCCCGGGUGAGGUUGCUGCAGUUGCACCAGGAGCAGCAGCAACACGGUCCCGUGGUCGCGGGAUCGCAGUCGGCCGGCUCCGCGGCCGCGGCCACCAACCAGUGGCUGGACCUGGUGCCGUCGAACCCGAUCCUACCUCAGAUCGCGCUGCCGGGAACGCCGUCGGCGGCGGUGUCCGCUAACGGCAACAACAACCUGCACCUGCACCUCAACCACAGCCAGGACGAGAACGGCGGCAGCAGCAGCACCGAGUCGGCGCACCAGACCCGCAGCGGCGGCAGACACGGCGUGCAGCACCAGCCCAGCAAGAUACCGGUGGUCAAGCCGACUUCGUGCCCGGUGCAGUCGAGGUCGUCGUCGUCGUACCGCGGCGGCGGCGACGCGCAGCAGUACCAGUCGUGGACCAAAUGCAAGUCGGACCAAUCGUUGCCCCGCAACUGGGAGUCCAUCAACAACAACAACAACAACAACAGCCACAACAAGAGCAACGGCGGGUCGUCCAUCGGCAGCGGCGUCGGCGGCGCGGCCGUCAAACAGCAGCGCGGCGGCAACAGACUGGACUCGUCGCAGUACCAGCAGCAGCAGCAGCAGCAGCACAGGUCCCGAAGGGAUUCGGGCGGCGGAGCGUCCCUGACGCGAGCCCGGUCGCAAAACAAUCACUCGCACCGGGGCGGCGGCGCCGCGGCCAAAGAAUUCGUCGGCAGGACCGCGUCGACGGCUGCGGCCGCGGGUCAUCAGCUGCAGCAGCUGCAACAACAACAACAGCCGGCGGCCGACGAUACCAACAAGGUACGGCCGACCAAGAGAUUCGCCAACAUACUUAACAAUUGGAUGCGGAAAUCCUAACGGAAGGCUUUUAAAAAAAAAAACACACACACUAUCGGCCGUAUAUAUAUAUUAUACAUAUUAUUAUAAGAUGAUGACGUCAUCGUAAUAUAUCGUCCGACGUUUCUACGACGUGUGCGCACGCGCACGUUUUCGGACACACACACACACACACUCAAACAUUGCAUACACGUACAUAUAUAUAUAUAUAUCGUAAACUUGGGCGCGCGCACACACACGCACUCCGACUUAAGUCGAUAGUGUCGAUAUGUAUAUAAUAUGAUAAUAUGAUAAUGUGUGUGCGUGCUUUACUUUAUAUAUAUAUUUUAUAAUAUAAUAUAUAAUAUAUAUAUAUUAUCGCACCAUAUUAUUAUGCUGUUGUUUCCAAUCACACCGCAGUCACAAAAAAAAAAAACUACCAAAAAAUGUGUUAAAUAUGAUAUAUAUAUGAUGCGAAAAAGGAUUAUAGCUUUUCAACGUGUGCUUAUGUUAUUGCUUCUUAUAUUGGACAUUAUGCGCAGUAAAACAAAAAUAUAUACAUAAUAUAGUACAUAUAUAUAUAUACGCGCAUAUCGUGUCCCCGCGAUUAUACCAUCACACACCGUUCACACGCGACGACUCAAGUCGGCCGAAACCCCCCGCCGCCAAGAAACUGUUCCGGCGCCGUAACCUCGUGCGGCAGAGCCGCUGCUUGAUGGAAGCCUGCAAGAAACCGGUCCUGCCGGCCGUCGACGAAGUACAAGAGCCGCCGGACGACUCCGCAGUGGCCGCAGCGGCCGC
Molecule: RNA transcript, 4148 nt
Organism: Metopolophium dirhodum (rose-grain aphid)
Lineage: Eukaryota; Metazoa; Arthropoda; Insecta; Hemiptera; Aphididae
Gene: jvl
Exons: 6
Source: RefSeq, a predicted model, not a curated record